This 913-nucleotide ribosomal RNA is filed under the name uncultured archaeon. RNAcentral's name for it is "bacterial SSU rRNA". It matches the Rfam family "Archaeal small subunit ribosomal RNA", at positions 1 to 922 of the family's 1478-position model. The record is from RNAcentral.
UUCCGGUUGAUCCUGCCGGAAGCGACCGCUAUUGGAAUUCGAUUAAGCCAUGCGAGUCGAGAGUCUUAGGGACUCGGCGUACCGCUCAGUAACACGUGGGUAACUGCCCUGUGCUGGGGAAUAACCUCGGGAAACUGAGAAUAAUGCCCCAUAAUUCACUACGCCUGGAACGGUGGGUGGAUCAAAGCUCCGGCGGCACAGGAUGGGCCUGCGGCGUAUCAGGUCGUAGGGGGUGUAAUGUACCCUCUAGCCUUCAACGCGUACGGGUUGUGGGAGCAAUCGCCCGGAGAUGGAUUCUGAGACACGAAUCCAGACCCUACGGGGUGCAGCAGGCGCGAAAACUUCACACUGCAGGAAACUGUGAUGAGGGAAUUCCAAGUGGCCAGACAAAGUCUGGUCUUUUACCAACUUUUAAUCGGUUGGUGAAUAAGGGGUGGGAAAGACCGGUGCCAGCCGCCGCGGUAAUACCGGCACCUCAAGUGGUCGUCGCUUUUAUUGGGCCUAAAACGUCCGUCGCCUGUUUGGUACAUUCGUGGGUAAAUCAAGCCGCUUAACGGCUUGAAUUCUGCGAGGACGGCCAGACUAGGGACCGGGAGAGGUAUGGGGUACUCUCAGGGUAGGGGUAAAAUCCAGUCAUCCUGAGGGGACCACCUGUUGCGAAGGCGCCAUACUAGAACGGAUCCGACGGUCAGGGACGAAGCCUAGGGGCACGAACCGGAUUAGAUACCCGGGUAGUCCUAGGUGUAAACGCUGUGGACUUGGUGUUGGGGAUUCUACGAGUAUCUCCAGUGCCGGAGUGAAGAUGUUAAGUCCACUGCCUGGGGAGUACGGUCGCAAGGCUGAAACUUAAAGGAAUUGGCGGGGGAGCACAGCAACGAGAGGAGCGUGCGGUUUAAUUGGAUUCAACGCCGGA